UGUCUCUGUGCUCUACUGGGAACUCGUGUGCUGGGAUGAGUUUAAUAGGCAGUGUGACUUCCUAUUACUGGGAUGGAGGAUUCCUGACACUCUUCAAGUCAAAGCUGAGAUGUGCCCCUCUUUACAGGAUAGUUAAGGACGGCCUAGGAAAUGAGCACCCAGGUGCUUCUUGGGCAAAGCUUGCUUUCCAGUCCUGUUUGAGUUUGAGAUUCGUUGCUGCCACUGGGUCCAGGCUAGGUGAGCUGGGGAAUCCCAGUGAGAGUCACCACCCUUGGCUUCCCCUCAGGUGUCUUCUGCUGUGGGCCAUCGCCACUGGCUGCCAUCUGCAAAGAUGACAUCUUUAUAGUCUAUGACACCAGAUUCGUCUUCUCAGAAGUGAAUGGUGACAGGCUCAUCUGGUUGGUGAAGACAGUGAAUGGGCAGGAAGAGUUACACUUAAUAUCGAUGGAGACCGCAAACAUCGGGAAAAACAUCAGCACCAAGGCAGUGGGCCAAGGUAGGCGGAGAGAUGUCAUCUACGAGUACAAGUACCCAGAAGGUGGCCAGCAUCACAGUGCUCCUUCUAACCCAGCCCCUGAGUCACCCAGACCAUGAAAAUAGUCAAGAUCAAGGGCUCCCCUGAGGAGAGGCAGGUCAUGGAUCAUGCCUUCCUCCUUUUCAGUUCUGAGAGGGAGCACAGAACACAUAUAAAAUAGAACUUUCUUCACAUGUCGGUACCGUCAGAAGAUGCGCUGCUGGGAAACCCUGUUAAUUUCACUGUGAUUCUCAAAAGGAAGACUGCUGCCCUACAGAAUGUCAACAUCUCGGGCUCCUUUGAACUACAAUUGUACACUGGCAAGAGGGUGGCAAAACUGUGUACCCUCAAGAAGACCUCACAGAUCCAAGGUCAAGUAUCGGAAGUGACUCUGACCUUGGACUCCAAGACCUACAUCAACAGCCUGGCUAUAUUUGAUGAUGAGCCAGUUAUCAGAGGUUUCUUCAUUGCGGAAAUUGUGGAGUCUAAGGAAAUCAUGGCCUCCCAAGUAUUCCUGUCUUUCCAGUACCCUGAGUUCUCUAUAGAGUUGCCUAACACAGGCAGAGUUGGCCAGCUACUUGUCUGCAAUUGUAUCUUCAAGAAUACCCUGGCCAUCCCUUUGACUGAUGUCAAGUUCUCUUUGGAAAGCCUGGGCAUCUCCUCACCACAGAUGUCUGACCACGGCGUCCUGAGGCUGCACCUUCAAUCACUGACUUUCUUCUCCACUCAACUGGGGCCACAGGCCCGCUGGGGCCAGGACUCAUGACCUUUUGUCUGGAGCUGGAAGAGGGGCCCUGACACUGAGGUUUUGCACG
RNAcentral lists this long non-coding RNA (1329 nucleotides) under Aotus nancymaae (Ma's night monkey). RNAcentral's name for it is "lncRNA (ENSANAG00000039443.1)". The record is from RNAcentral. Lineage: Eukaryota; Metazoa; Chordata; Mammalia; Primates; Aotidae.